GGAAGCUUAGCUCUACUCAGCAUAUUAUAGUACAACAUCAGUUCAGUGAUUUAGUGUAGAAAAUUUGUGGCUUCCGUCAGAUUAAAGUGGAGGAAUCUUGCAACAAAAAGAAGGACUACUUAUGCCGCCAUUUUACAUUCAUUUACAUGUACCGUAUUAUUUUAUUCCAACUUUACAGCAGUAUAAUUUUAUUUCUUUUUAUAACUGGCCCUAGCUCUACUCAGGACUAACAAAUAGAAGUUGUAAGGUCUAAUAUGGUAUAAAAAUCAAGCUGAUUUAAUGACGAUGAGUGUAAGGAAUCUAUGGCUGAAUAUCAGAAAUUUUCUGCAUGUUAAUACUGCGGCUAUAUCUAAAUAAGACAAAAGAAGUAACAAAGUCACUUAGAAGAAGUGCAGUUAUGGAGCUGUUCCUGAGCGGUACUGGAUUCCUACCAUAAAGUCAUUGCUCGAGACGCUUUCUUGAACAACAAACCCUGUUAACAACAUAUUCUAUUGUAAUAGUGCUGUUUUGACUUUCUAGAAGUCAGUACUUCUGAAUAAAAACAAAUUAUCAUAA
Amphimedon queenslandica is the source of this 555-nucleotide long non-coding RNA. RefSeq lists it as uncharacterized. The record is from RefSeq and is a predicted model, not a curated record. The transcript has 2 exons. Lineage: Eukaryota; Metazoa; Porifera; Demospongiae; Haplosclerida; Niphatidae.